Long non-coding RNA from Mobula hypostoma (lesser devil ray), 523 nucleotides. RefSeq lists it as uncharacterized. The transcript is spliced from 3 exons. The record is from RefSeq and is a predicted model, not a curated record. Lineage: Eukaryota; Metazoa; Chordata; Chondrichthyes; Myliobatiformes; Myliobatidae.
AGCAGCUCUAAAGCUCGAGCUCAAGCAGAUGAUUUCGAAGAAAUUGCGUCAGACGCAAACCGUGCGUGUGACGUCGAGGUGGAUGAGUCGAUGCGCACAGGAGUCCGUAAAAUUAUUCAGUACUGUGAGAUAUUGAGAACAUCAAGUUCUGAAGGCCUGUUCCAUUCUCGAUGGUGAUGGAGCUGGAUUCGUUGCGUUCUGUGUUGCCGACAGCUGCAGCCACCCAAGGAGGAAGGCGUCGGAGGUGGUGCGCAGUCCGACAAGCCGUGCAAAUGAUCAUCUUGAGCAUUUUGUUGAAGGCAGUUCUGAAAUGCUAUGUGAAGAAUAAAGUGAAGACAAGGCGCAAAAGAAGUCAUGGUCACCUUUUACAACCAAGGAAGUGACGGCUACUCGUCCCACUGGACGUGAACUUGUGUGGUCACGAGUGUAACUACCCCAGUGCAACAGCGUUUCCUCUUUAAAUACUCUCCUGUAUAGUUCUCCUGUUAUUGUUGGAUAUGACAGACAACCACCAGUAAUAUUG